AGUGAGCCGGGCAGCCGCGUGCGCAAGCAUGAGGAAAGUCCGGGCUCCUAAGGGCAAGAUGCCAGCUAACGGCUGGGCGGGGUAACCCGACGGAAAGUGCCACAGAAAAGAAGACUCCCCUGCUUGCAGGAGAAAAGCUGAAACGGUGCGGUAAGAGCGCACCAGUGCGUUGGCAACAACGUAGCUUGGUAAACCCCAUCUGGAGCAAGCGCAAAUAGGAAUGCCAUACGGCCGCCCUUCCGUGCAUUCGGGUUGCGUGCUUGAGCUUUGCGGUGACGCAAAGUCGAGAUAAAUGGUUGCCGAUUACAGAACCCGGCUUAUAGGCUCGCUCU
Molecule: RNase P RNA, 332 nt
Filed under: human gut metagenome
Description: Bacterial RNase P class A
Rfam family: Bacterial RNase P class A
About the family: Ribonuclease P (RNase P) is a ubiquitous endoribonuclease, found in archaea, bacteria and eukarya as well as chloroplasts and mitochondria.
Source: RNAcentral